UGUAGGCGUUGAGCGUACGCUGGCACAGGGCGGAGCGGACGCAGUCUUGUUUGUCAAAGCGGAUGAUGCCGAUCAUUUCAUCCUCCUCGAAGCGUUCCAUCGCAUCGCUGAGGCCGGACUUCACGCCGCGUGGCAAGUCGCAUUGGGUGACGUCACCAUUAACGAUUACCGUUACGUUCUCACCCAAACGGGUC
Serratia proteamaculans 568 is the source of this 194-nucleotide non-coding RNA. Lineage: Bacteria; Pseudomonadati; Pseudomonadota; Gammaproteobacteria; Enterobacterales; Yersiniaceae. The record is from Rfam.